UAUCUCUCCGUACGGGGAAGGAUGAGAAGCUUCGACUAAGGUUCGAUUCGAGCGAAAGCGAGAAAGCGUUGCCGUAGGCAACGACCCGAAGGGCGAAGC
Molecule: small RNA, 99 nt
Filed under: Salmonella enterica
Lineage: Bacteria; Pseudomonadati; Pseudomonadota; Gammaproteobacteria; Enterobacterales; Enterobacteriaceae
Also listed under: 1 other name
Description: partial RtT sRNA
Rfam family: RtT RNA
About the family: This family represents a bacterial cis-regulatory element known as RtT RNA.
Source: RNAcentral